RNAcentral lists this long non-coding RNA (994 nucleotides) under Rattus norvegicus (Norway rat). RNAcentral describes it as "long non-coding RNA NONRATT025032". Lineage: Eukaryota; Metazoa; Chordata; Mammalia; Rodentia; Muridae. The record is from RNAcentral.
AAGUCCUCUUCUCUCUAGCACUAAAUGGUCCCUUUCUCCUCUUUGCACAGAUUUGCUCUCCAGCACAGCAAAAGGGUCUGCCUGUGACCCUCACCGAACUCACUCUUCACUGCUUUAUAGAGACCAUCAGACUCAGGACAAAUAUUCUAGUUUGGAUGCGCAAUUAAUAAUAAGAAGAUACAGGACAGAGGCGGACUGAAUGGCUCCAAUUCUCAGAAUGUGAAAGCGUAAAUCAGAACCUACUAUUUUGUAAAACCAACUUGGAAAACAAAAUUGUCAGAAGCAAAACAACAACAACAACAACAAUAAAAACCAAACCAACAACAAAACCAAGCAAGUCAGGCUGUUUUACCAAUAAAGGGGGCACUGAAUGGAAUCAGAGAUCUGAUAAGUGCCGGGAAGUUGGACUAAGAGGGACAGGAGACUUCGAAACUUCUCUGAAUACUGCUCUGGGAUCAGUACACGUCAACCUGAACCCGGAAGAGUUCCAAGUAUCUUUCCCCUUCUCUGUCAGGUUCGUGUUACCCUGAACCUGUGAGCUCAGAAGGAAUUUUCUGGUUUUCGGGAGACGGCAGCCAUUCAUCAUAGCUCUCCACCACUGACUGACUGAGAGUCAAUUAUCAUCAAACAUCCAUCUGCCCAUGUCUUUCUAGAAGACUCACUUGUUGCCGUCUCGACGAAUAGCAACCCUGUAGAAGUGCACACAGUGUGGCAGCUCAGCAGACUCAGCCAUUAACUGCAAUAACUAUAAACCAUUUAGAGGGGGAGAGCAUUCAUACAGGUCCACUCCACACAGGCCUGGUGCUUUCUCUGGAAUCAGAGCCUCCAGAUGCUAAUUAUUCCUACUCCAUGAUUGAGGAUUUGGAGUCGGAGACUCACCUGCAAUAUUUGGAAUACCAGUGGAGAUCCAUAUCAACAUGGAAUUUAUACAGCAGCUGGUGCCAGUCACAGCUAAUGAUGAAACUUCAGCUUAAUAAAAAGACCCCCAACUGAG